AGUGAACGCUGGCGGUAGGCCUAACACAUGCAAGUCGAACGGCAGCACAGUAAGAGCUUGCUCUUACGGGUGGCGAGUGGCGGACGGGUGAGGAAUACAUCGGAAUCUACUUUUUCUGGGGGAAUAACGGGGGAAAACUUCCGCUAAUACCGCAUACGACCAACGGGUGAAAGCAGGGGAGCUUGGGACUUUUGCUGUUUCAUUUAGCCGUUGCCGGAUUAGCUAGUUGGCGGGGUAAGGGCCCACCAAGGCGACGAUCCGUAGCUGGUCUGAGAGGAUGAUCAGCCACACUGGAACUGAGACACGGUCCAGACUCCUACGGGAGGCAGCAGUGGGGAAUAUUGGACAAUGGGCGCAAGCCUGAUCCAGCCAUACCGCGUGGGUGAAGAAGGCCUUCGGGUUGUAAAGCCCUUUUGUUGGGAAAGAAAAGCAGCAGGUUAAUACCCCGCUGUUCUGACGGUACCCAAAGAAUAAGCACCGGCUAACUUCGUG
RNAcentral lists this ribosomal RNA (492 nucleotides) under uncultured bacterium. Its description in RNAcentral is "partial 16S ribosomal RNA". It matches the Rfam family "Bacterial small subunit ribosomal RNA", at positions 29 to 507 of the family's 1533-position model. The record is from RNAcentral.